UCUUUUAUUGGACUUAAAAAAGUUCUUCAUUAAACUGUGCUUCUCUCCUCUCCCCACAAGCCUGAUCAUCAGGUCCUGAAAUACACAACACCAAGAGACAGUCAAGCUACAAAAAAAAGCAAGACCACUCCUUUCCAAGAGAGGCACAUGUGGCAAGUCCAUGAGCAGGAAUGAGAUUACCCUCUGCCUGCUUCAAAUCAGCUGUAAAAAUCUCCUGAUUUAAGGGAGAGCCACUGUGGCCUAUGAAUUACAGGAAAAGGCAGAGCUAGCGUGGUUAAAAGGCAAUAAAAAGGGAAAAGGUUGGGGCUGGGGCUGAGGAGCUGUCAGUUGGCUUCUUCCCACAAAGAAAAGAAGUUAGUCAUCAGAACUGAGAAUUCCGUGCGACUGCAGCACACAUGGAAAUGAUGAAGCAGAGCAGCACGUUCCCCUGAUGGGUCUCCUCAGCCCAGAGCUCUCCUGGGCAUGUUCCCACCUUCCAGAGCAGUUGUGGUUCUGGAGCUCACCACGUGCAGGGGUGGUCAGAGAAUGCUUGGGCAGGGGCAGGAGAAGGAAGGGCAGCUUUCCUGGUGCCAGGAUUUGACCUGCAGAAGAGGCACAGUCAGAUUUCAUAUGAGAUCACACAGCAGCUCUAAGGCUGAGAUGUCCAGCUGUGAAGAGGGGGUGCCACCUGAGAAUGUUGCAAUGCUCACACAAUUCCCACAGCACAUCCACAUGCCUGCCUUUGUGUCAUUUAUUGUGCCAAACUCACGUUCCAAAGUGCUAGGCAGGCACAUGCCUCUUUUACUGCUUCUGCCCCCUCUCCUUCUCGUGCAUAGAGCAGUUGCUGGAAAAAAAAAGGGGGAAAAGCAGAUUUAGAGAAAACUUGAAGAGCAUGGCUUAGUUCUUCCAGUGGAAUUAUAAUACUGUUACCUGCCUAGAGUGUAUUUUUAAUCUGGAUGGCAGCAAAAGGUCAUACUGCAUAAUCACAUUUAAGUGCCAUUCCCUAUUAAUACAGCUCUUGAUCUCAAUAGCUAUCACUAUAUAUCAUGGUUACUAUAUAUUCAAAGAUGUGAUAUUUUUCUUUUGUAACACCAGUCUACAAGCAUGAAAGCAUUUUUUAUGCAGCAUGUUUUCAAUUCGUUGUGGGAUGGCUGGAGAAGUAUUCCAAGGGUUUCUCCAAAAUCUGCAGAGGAUGCACAUGGUGUGUGCUCAUCUCCACGCUCCCAUCCCACUCCCUCCAGCGAGAUUAGCACCCAGACCAGCCGGUGAGGGCCCACUUGACAGGCCCACAUGGUUUAGAUUCAUAAUCAGAUUAACAAAACUGUAAUCCUAUUUUUAAACAAUGAAAAAGCCAAGUCCUUGAGCUGCCAGUGUGUGUGUGUGUGCAUACAGAAUAAAUGUCAUCCUUGUGGAAGAAAAAAACCUGAAUACCAAAUGAAAAAGUUUCUUCCACACAGAAGACUUUGUCCAUUAGAGGAAAGGACUAUUUUGCAUUAUUACCACUGCUUUUUCCCACUGAUUUGAUCUCCAGCAAGCCCACUUCCAAUACUUGCAGGAUUUACCUUCUAUAAAGACACAUUCUUUACCACAUUUAAAAAUAAUAGUUAUAGAAGUGAACUACUCCCCAAAUGAUCCAGAAACUUUAAUUAUGAAUGUUCCAGUACUCAAACUUAUACUUUAAAAACUGCCCAGGCACUGGAAAAUGAGCAUACUUCAUAUAUUCAAUAUAACAGACUCAUGGUGGAAAAAAUCUCACUGGGCAACCAGUAGCAUUUGUCUCUGUCACAGUAUUUCCAGCACCACUGCAUUUUCCCAAAUGAUGUGGAAAGUUCUUUCUCAGCUCCAGCACCCACCUUUUUUUGGGGGGGGAUUUUUGGUGUUUUGUUUUGGUUUUUUUGUUUGUUGUUUGUUUGUUUUGUGGGGUUUUUUUUGGUGGUUUUUUUGUUUGGUUUUUGUGGACUUUUUUUUGGUUGGUUGGUUGGUGUUUUUGUUCUGUUUUGGGGUUUUUUGGUUUUGUUUUGGGGUUUUUUGGGGAUUUUUGUGUGUGUGUUUUUGAUUGUUUGUCUG
Long non-coding RNA from Taeniopygia guttata (zebra finch), 2046 nucleotides. The record is from Ensembl. NCBI's taxonomy places the organism in Eukaryota, Metazoa, Chordata, Aves, Passeriformes, Estrildidae.